This 245-nucleotide unclassified non-coding RNA is filed under the name plant metagenome. Its description in RNAcentral is "partial contains small subunit ribosomal RNA, internal transcribed spacer 1, and 5.8S ribosomal RNA". The record is from RNAcentral.
UCUCCGUUGGUGAACCAGCGGAGGGAUCAUCACCGAGUUUACAACUCCCAAACCCAAUGUGAACCAUACCAAACUGUUGCCUCGGCGGGGUCACGCCCCGGGUGCGUCGCAGCCCCGGAACCAGGCGCCCGCCGGAGGGACCAACCAAACUCUUUCUGUAGUCCCCUCGCGGACGUUAUUUCCUGCAGCUCUGAGCAAAAAUUCAAAAUGAAUCAAAACUUUCAACAACGGAUCUCUUGGUUCUG